RNAcentral lists this microRNA precursor (104 nucleotides) under Caenorhabditis brenneri. RNAcentral describes it as "pre miRNA CBN34245". Lineage: Eukaryota; Metazoa; Nematoda; Chromadorea; Rhabditida; Rhabditidae. The record is from RNAcentral.
AAACCCCCUUAGCAAUUCUUGCACUAGACCAAGCACUGGAUAAUCUGUGGUAAGUUUUCCAGUACCUAUGUGUAGUACAAAAACCGCAUUUCAGGUUAUAUCAA